Molecule: ribosomal RNA, 829 nt
Filed under: Encarsia hispida endosymbiont
Lineage: Bacteria; Pseudomonadati; Bacteroidota
Description: bacterial SSU rRNA
Rfam family: Bacterial small subunit ribosomal RNA
Source: RNAcentral
UACAAUCUUUAUUAACCCAUGUUAAAAAGAUAAAAGCUCCGGCGGUGUAAAAUGAGCGUGCGUCCUAUUAGCUAGUUGGUGAGGUAAUAGCUCACCAAGGCUACGAUGGGUAGGGGUUCUUAGUGGAAGAUCCCCCACACUGGCACUGAGAUACGGGCCAGACUCCUACGGGAGGCAGCAGUAGGGAAUAUUGGUCAAUGGGCGCAAGCCUGAACCAGCCAUGCCGCGUGCAGGAUGAAAGCUCUCUGAGUUGUAAACUGCUUUUGUACAGGAGCAAAACAAUCCCUGCGGGGAUUCUUGAGAGUACUGUAAGAAUAAGCACCGGCUAAUUCCGUGCCAGCAGCCGCGGUAAUACGGAAGGUGCAAGCGUUAUCCGGUUUUAUUGGGUUUAAAGGGUGCGUAGGCGGCUUAUUAAGUCAGUUGUGAAAUCCUAGUGCUUAACGCUAGAACUGCAAUUGAUACUAUUAGGCUUGAGUUAAGAAUAGGUAAGUAGAAUUUAUGGUGUAGUAGUGAAAUGCUUAGAUAUCAUAAGGAAUACCAAUAGCGUAGGCAGCUUACUGGUCUUUAACUGACGCUGAGGCACGAAAGCGUGGGGAGCAAACAGGAUUAGAUACCCUGGUAGUCCACGCCGUAAACGAUGAUCACUCGGUAUACAUAAAUCUUAUGUGUGCCUAAGCGAAAGCGUUAAGUGAUCCACCUGGGGAGUAUACUCGCAAGGGUGAAACUCAAAGGAAUUGACGGGGGUCCGCACAAGCGGUGGAGUAUGUGGUUUAAUUCGAUAAUACGCGAGGAACCUUACCUGGGCUAGAAUGUAUUUUGCUACUUUGAA